AACGUAGGCGGCAGGCUCAACACAGGCAAUUCGAGCGUCAUUCGUGGGAGCGGCGGACGGGUUAGUAACGCUGGGAACUGCCCAGUCAAGGAUAGCCCUGGAAACGUGAGUAAUACCUAUACGCCUUCGGGGGAAAGAUUAUCGGUUUGGUCGGCCCGCGUUAGAUAGUAGUUGGUGUGGUAAUGGCCAACCAAGUCUACGAUCUAUAGCUGGUUUUAGAGGAUGAUCAGCAACACUGGGACUGAGACACGGCCCAGACUCCUACGGGAGGCAGCAGUGAGGAAUCUUGGACAAUGGGGGCAACCCUGAUCCAGCCAUGCCGCGUGAGUGAUGAAGGCCUUAGGGUCGUAAAGCUCUUUCGCCAGGGAUGAUAAUGACAGUACCUGGUAAAGAAACCCCGGCUAACUCCGUGCCAGCAGCCGCGGUAAUACGGAGGGGGUUAGCGUUGUUCGGAAUUACUGGGCGUAAAGCGCGCGUAGGCGGAUUGGAAAGUUGGGGGUGAAAUCCCGGGGCUCAACCCCGGAACUGCCUCCAAAACUAUCAGUCUAGAGUUCGAGAGAGGUGAGUGGAAUUCCGAGUGUAGAGGUGAAAUUCGUAGAUAUUCGGAGGAACACCAGUGGCGAAGGCGGCUCACUGGCUCGAUACUGACGCUGAGGUGCGAAAGUGUGGGGGAGCAAACAGGAUAGAUACCCUGGUAGUCCACACCGUAAACGAUGAAUGCCAGUCGUCGGCAAGCAUGCUUGUCGGUGACACACCUAACGGAUUAAGCAUUCCGCCUGGGGAGUACGGUCGCAAGAUUAAAACUCAAA
RNAcentral lists this ribosomal RNA (809 nucleotides) under uncultured bacterium. RNAcentral describes it as "bacterial SSU rRNA". It matches the Rfam family "Bacterial small subunit ribosomal RNA", at positions 32 to 905 of the family's 1533-position model. The record is from RNAcentral.